UGAGGAAUAUUGGUCAAUGGGCGAGAGCCUGAACCAGCCAAGUCGCGUGAAGGAAGAAGGAUCUAUGGUUCGUAAACUUCUUUUGCAGGGGAAUAAAGUGCAGGACGUGUCCUGUUUUGUAUGUACCCUGAGAAUAAGGAUCGGCUAACUCCGUGCCAGCAGCCGCGGUAAUACGGAGGAUCCGAGCGUUAUCCGGAUUUAUUGGGUUUAAAGGGUGCGUAGGCGGGAUAAUAAGUCAGUGGUGAAAGUUUGCAGCUUAACUGUAAAAUUGCCGUUGAAACUGUUAUUCUUGAGAGUAGAUAAGGUAGGCGGAAUGUGUUGUGUAGCGGUGAAAUGCAUAGAUAUAACACAGAACCCCGAUUGCGAAGGCAGCUUACCGGGCUACAUCUGACGCUGAUGCACGAAAGCGUGGGGAUCAAACAGGAUUAGAUACCCUGGUAGUCCACGCAGUAAACGAUGAUUACUAGCUGUUUGCGAUACACAGUAAGCGGCACAGCGAAAGCGUUAAGUAAUCCACCUGGGGAGUACGCCGGCAACGGUG
This 541-nucleotide ribosomal RNA is filed under the name uncultured Parabacteroides sp. Its description in RNAcentral is "bacterial SSU rRNA". It matches the Rfam family "Bacterial small subunit ribosomal RNA", at positions 355 to 896 of the family's 1533-position model. The record is from RNAcentral. Lineage: Bacteria; Pseudomonadati; Bacteroidota; Bacteroidia; Bacteroidales; Tannerellaceae.